This 379-nucleotide unclassified non-coding RNA is filed under the name uncultured Micrococcales bacterium. RNAcentral describes it as "contains 16S-23S intergenic spacer region". Lineage: Bacteria; Bacillati; Actinomycetota; Actinomycetes; Micrococcales. The record is from RNAcentral.
UCCGAGUUGACCCCGGCAGUCUCCCAUGAGUCCCCACCAUAACGUGCUGGCAACAUGGAACGAGGGUUGCGCUCGUUGCGGGACUUAACCCAACAUCUCACGACACGAGCUGACGACAGCCGUGCACCACCUGUGCACUGGCCCCGAAGGGCUGUCGUGUUUCCACGACAUUCCAGUGCAUGUCAAACCCAGGUAAGGUUCUUCGCGUUGCAUCGAAUUAAUCCGCAUGCUCCGCCGCUUGUGCGGGCCCCCGUCAAUUCCUUUGAGUUUUAGCCUUGCGGCCGUACUCCCCAGGCGGGGCACUUAAUGCGUUAGCUACGGCGCGGAAAACGUGGAAUGUCCCCCACACCAAGUGCCCAACGUUUACGGCAUGGACUAC